Molecule: ribosomal RNA, 1489 nt
Filed under: Lactiplantibacillus plantarum
Lineage: Bacteria; Bacillati; Bacillota; Bacilli; Lactobacillales; Lactobacillaceae
Description: bacterial SSU rRNA
Rfam family: Bacterial small subunit ribosomal RNA
Source: RNAcentral
GACGAACGCUGGCGGCGUGCCUAAUACAUGCAAGUCGAACGAACUCUGGUAUUGAUUGGUGCUUGCAUCAUGAUUUACAUUUGAGUGAGUGGCGAACUGGUGAGUAACACGUGGGAAACCUGCCCAGAAGCGGGGGAUAACACCUGGAAACAGAUGCUAAUACCGCAUAACAACUUGGACCGCAUGGUCCGAGUUUGAAAGAUGGCUUCGGCUAUCACUUUUGGAUGGUCCCGCGGCGUAUUAGCUAGAUGGUGGGGUAACGGCUCACCAUGGCAAUGAUACGUAGCCGACCUGAGAGGGUAAUCGGCCACAUUGGGACUGAGACACGGCCCAAACUCCUACGGGAGGCAGCAGUAGGGAAUCUUCCACAAUGGACGAAAGUCUGAUGGAGCAACGCCGCGUGAGUGAAGAAGGGUUUCGGCUCGUAAAACUCUGUUGUUAAAGAAGAACAUAUCUGAGAGUAACUGUUCAGGUGUUGACGGUAUUUAACCAGAAAGCCACGGCUAACUACGUGCCAGCAGCCGCGGUAAUACGUAGGUGGCAAGCGUUGUCCGGAUUUAUUGGGCGUAAAGCGAGCGCAGGCGGUUUUUUAAGUCUAAUGUGAAAGCCUUCGGCUCAACCGAAGAAGUGCAUCGGAAACUGGGAAACUUGAGUGCAGAAGAGGACAGUGGAACUCCAUGUGUAGCGGUGAAAUGCGUAGAUAUAUGGAAGAACACCAGUGGCGAAGGCGGCUGUCUGGUCUGUAACUGACGCUGAGGCUCGAAAGUAUGGGUAGCAAACAGGAUUAGAUACCCUGGUAGUCCAUACCGUAAACGAUGAAUGCUAAGUGUUGGAGGGUUUCCGCCCUUCAGUGCUGCACCUAACGCAUUAAGCAUUCCGCCUGGGGAGUACGGCCGCAAGGCUGAAACUCAAAGGAAUUGACGGGGGCCCGCACAAGCGGUGGAGCAUGUGGUUUAAUUCGAAGCUACGCGAAGAACCUUACCAGGUCUUGACAUACUAUGCAAAUCUAAGAGAUUAGACGUUCCCUUCGGGGACAUGGAUACAGGUGGUGCAUGGUUGUCGUCAGCUCGUGUCGUGAGAUGUUGGGUUAAGUCCCGCAACGAGCGCAACCCUUAUUAUCAGUUGCCAGCAUUAAGUUGGGCACUCUGGUGAGACUGCCGGUGACAAACCGGAGGAAGGUGGGGAUGACGUCAAAUCAUCAUGCCCCUUAUGACCUGGGCUACACACGUGCUACAAUGGAUGGUACAACGAGUUGCGAACUCGCGAGAGUAAGCUAAUCUCUUAAAGCCAUUCUCAGUUCGGAUUGUAGGCUGCAACUCGCCUACAUGAAGUCGGAAUCGCUAGUAAUCGCGGAUCAGCAUGCCGCGGUGAAUACGUUCCCGGGCCUUGUACACACCGCCCGUCACACCAUGAGAGUUUGUAACACCCAAAGUCGGUGGGGUAACCUUUUAGGAACCAGCCGCCUAAGGUGGGACAGAUGAUUAGGGUG